GUGCUCCCUUCUGCAGCACAUAUACUAAAAUUGGAAUGAUACAGAGAAGAUCAGCAUGGCCCCUGUGCAAGGAUGCCACAUGCAAAUGCAUGCAGCAGUAUGUAUUUUU
Phacochoerus africanus (Common warthog) is the source of this 109-nucleotide small nuclear RNA. NCBI's taxonomy places the organism in Eukaryota, Metazoa, Chordata, Mammalia, Artiodactyla, Suidae. The record is from RefSeq and is a predicted model, not a curated record.